Long non-coding RNA from Perca fluviatilis (European perch), 271 nucleotides. RefSeq lists it as uncharacterized. The transcript has 3 exons. The record is from RefSeq and is a predicted model, not a curated record. Lineage: Eukaryota; Metazoa; Chordata; Actinopteri; Perciformes; Percidae.
CUGCAGGUCCUUUGGCGGUGUAUUUUUCUAAUUCCUUUCCGUUGAGCAAACGGCAGCAUCGUGAGUGUAGAGUCUAUAAAAACACAGCUUGCUGCUCCAACUUCAAGGUAACCUGUUGGUAGUAGCCUUUGUGAGCUACUUUGGUGCUAAGCUCCAUCGUCCCAGGAUGAUUGGAAUUGGCUGUGUGAUCAUGGCGGUUUCCUCAUAGGCCUGCCUCACUUCUUCCAGGGACUAAUGACAUUCUUGGGGUUGAUUACUGGACUCUACUUCC